ACUAAAUAGAUACCCUGGUAGUCCACGCCCUAAACGAUGUCUACUAGUUGUUGGUGGAGUAAAAUCCAUGAGUAAACGCAGCUAAACGCGUGAAGUAGACCGCCUGGGGAGUACGGUCGCAAGAUUAAAACCUCAAAGGAAUUGACGGGGGCCCGCAUAAGCGGUGGAUUAUGUGGAUUAAAUUCGAUGCAACGCGAAAAACCUUACCUGGCCUUGACAUGCCACUAACGAAGCAGAGAUGCAUUAGGUGCCCGUAAGGGAAAGUGGACACAGGUGCUGCAUGGCUGUCGUCAGCUCGUGUCGUGAGAUGUUGGGUU
RNAcentral lists this ribosomal RNA (317 nucleotides) under uncultured bacterium. Its description in RNAcentral is "bacterial SSU rRNA". It matches the Rfam family "Bacterial small subunit ribosomal RNA", at positions 772 to 1081 of the family's 1533-position model. The record is from RNAcentral.